CCCUUAGAUGUCCGGGGCCGCACGCGCGCUACACUGUAGAUCGCAGCGAGUGUAGUUUCUGUCCCUCCCGUAGCCGGGUGGGUAAACCUUUGAAAGAUCGAACGUGGCUUGGGAUCGGGCCUUGAAAUUAUUGCCCGUGAACGAGGAAUUCCCAGUAAGCGCGAGUCAUAAGCUGGCGUUGAUUACGUCCCUGCCCUUUGUACACACCGCCCGUCGCUACUACCGAUUGGACGGUUUAGCGAGGCCCUCGGAUCGGUACCUGGACUCCGUCAGGAGUGACUGGCAACCGAGAAGGCGGUCGAACUUGACCGUCUAGAGGAAGUAAAAGUCGUAACAA
This 337-nucleotide ribosomal RNA is filed under the name uncultured eukaryote. Its description in RNAcentral is "partial 18S ribosomal RNA". It matches the Rfam family "Eukaryotic small subunit ribosomal RNA", at positions 1470 to 1797 of the family's 1831-position model. The record is from RNAcentral.